Long non-coding RNA from Equus quagga, 1497 nucleotides. RefSeq lists it as uncharacterized. The record is from RefSeq and is a predicted model, not a curated record. NCBI's taxonomy places the organism in Eukaryota, Metazoa, Chordata, Mammalia, Perissodactyla, Equidae. The transcript is spliced from 2 exons.
AACCACAAGAUAGAAAUGUUUCCACUCGCAAAAAACUGAAACUAUCCACGUUGGCAAGGGUAUGAGAGAAAGGGCUUCAUUAAGCGUUUGCUGCACACCAAGCCCCAGACCAGGCCAACCAAGCAAAGAUGGAGUGCCUUCCCUCUAGAAGCUUGCAGUCUGGCAGGAAACAAACACAGACUACAGCAAGGUCAUGUGCAGUGGAUGAGAACCGCCUGGUGAGAGCACUGGAGCAAAUCCUGAGCUGUGGCAGUGGUCAGAGAAGACCUCACGAGGACUAGAUGUGAGCUGAGACCAAGACAAAGAAGAGGUGGGGAGUGUCCUCUGGGCCGAGGGCGUGUGAGAGCAGGACUUGUUCCAGGGCCAGUGAUAUGUAACGUGCUGUCGUAGGAUGAAGAGCUGGGUGCCAGGACCACUGAGAAACAGCCAGGGAGUAAGCAGGUCAAGAAGUGCCUGGUAAAUCAAGAAUUAAGAAUUGACUCAGCCAGCCAGUGGUUUUCAGAUUACCCUUUGGUUUUUCAAAUAACGUGCUUCUGAGGUUCCACAAGCAUCUUAUUCAAAUCUCCUCUUCAGGAAUAUUUUCUACUAAUUUAAAACCUGCAAUACAAAAGAAAUACCUACCCUCUGAAAUGUUUUAUAUACCACAGUUUAAUGCCUUAACUUGUGCUUCCAAAAUCUAGAUGAACAUGUUUUGGUGCAGGCCAGAGGAAAGCAUCUGUCAUCGCUGCGAACACAAUAGAAUUUCUGACAAAUGUGUCAUUGUUUGGGAAGGCUGAGCGCUGCCCAACCCUCUUUGGAUUCGUGCCUGUACAAGGCAGGUAUAAUCAGAGCAGAGAGGAGGCCUGAAAGUCAGCAGAAGUUCAGACACAUCAGCUCAGCACAGAAUCUUGGAACACUGAGAGUUCGCGAAAACUCAUUGACCGCCUUGUGGUAAUAACAUCAAGCCAGAGAGAGUCUUAACACAUUGUGACUGCUGCCACCUCCGGCUGAUGCCCUGAGUCACGAAAUGGCUGCAGCAACUCCAGCUAUCACAUCAAAGCACAACAGCCACUACCCAAAAAGGGGCUGUGUUUCUCCGUAUAAGUGAUAAAAUCUUUCCCAGAAGCUCCUGCAGACUUCUCCUGCUGUUCCACUGGCCAAAAUUUUAUCACAUGCCCCUUCCCAUACCAAAUCACUGGAGGGGCAGAAAACCUAUCAAAAAUGGCUUAGACCAAUCAUGUCCUGCCCCCUGGAACUGGGGAUGAGGCCUAUGCUCUGAGCACGAGCUAUGCAGAGGAGAGAGGCUCCUGGACAAGUCAGGGCUCAUCGAGGAAGGGCAGGUGGGCAAAUGAAUGCUGGGUGGCAACUGACAACGUCUGCCACCAAUUCCUAAUGACAUCCAUUGUGUUUGAAGUUGAUUAAUUUGACUCACCCAGGGCAACUUCAUUUCUGAAUUAUUGAAGGAAAGAAACAUUUCAGUGUAGUCCGUUCUCCCUUAUUAAAAACUUGUUUAUUCAA